AGUGAACGCUGGCGGCAGGCCUAACACAUGCAAGUCGAACGGCAGCACAGGAGAGCUUGCUCUCUGGGUGGCGAGUGGCGGACGGGUGAGGAAUAUAUCGGAAUCUACCCUUUCGUGGGGGAUAACGUAGGGAAACUUACGCUAAUACCGCAUACGAACUGAGGUUGAAAGCGGCGGACCGCAAGGCGUCGCGCGGAUGGAUGAGCCGAUAUCCGAUUAGCUAGUUGGCGGGGUAAAGGCCCACCAAGGCGACGAUCGGUAGCUGGUCUGAGAGGAUGAUCAGCCACACUGGGACUGAGACACGGCCCAGACUCCUACGGGAGGCAGCAGUGGGGAAUUUUGGACAAUGGGCGCAAGCCUGAUCCAGCAAUGCCGCGUGCAGGAAGAAGGCCUUCGGGUUGUAAACUGCUUUUGUACGGAGCGAAAAGGCUCUCUCUAAUACAGGGGGCUCAUGACGGUACCGUAAGAAUAAGCACCGGCUAACUACGUG
RNAcentral lists this ribosomal RNA (490 nucleotides) under uncultured bacterium. RNAcentral describes it as "bacterial SSU rRNA". It matches the Rfam family "Bacterial small subunit ribosomal RNA", at positions 29 to 507 of the family's 1533-position model. The record is from RNAcentral.